UUUACAAGUUACGCGAACUAAAGAAUUGUGCAAUGGGUAGUGUAAUGGGACUAUUUUCCGGCAAGAAUAAGUCUGCUGAGACCGAUGGAGAUAUGGAAGUAAGUAAGUUUCAAUACCCCAGACUUCUAGUCGAUGGGAGGCUCGAUGUGCCGACAAUACAACAUUUUCUAAUUCUCGAAACAGAAGGGACUCUUUUUUACGAUGAAGACGGCGAUGUGGCACAUGAAUUCUACGAAGAAAUUAGGGUAGACGGAGGACGGCGAAGUACAAUGAGAAGAAUAACUCGUAACCUCACACCACAGGAUGGAAUUGAUGACUUUUGAAUUUCUGGUGGUCAGUUGUUUUGGCCAGUUUUCGUGCAUAUUGAAACUUGCGAAAAGGUGACAUGUCAACUGUUUUCUGCCUGGACUGGUGAGAUUGAGAAUUCCACGACUUCCUGCUGACUUUCCAUUAGUAAUGUGUCAGAUUUAGUGCUGCGACUUGCACAUGUUUGGCAAUGCUAGCAAAUUCUGUACAUGUGUAAUCAAUCUCGUAUAUACAUAUAUAUAUACAUAUAUAUAUAUUUGGGCUAUAAUGAUAGCAGCCACUUGCCAACAAUGUAUAUAUAAGACAUUGGUACUAUCUGUUAUGAAAGGUAAAACGUCAAUAUAUACAUCUGAUAUGUAUGGCAUGUUAUAAC
Molecule: RNA transcript, 679 nt
Organism: Corticium candelabrum
Lineage: Eukaryota; Metazoa; Porifera; Homoscleromorpha; Homosclerophorida; Plakinidae
Gene name: tumor suppressor candidate 2-like
Exons: 4
Source: RefSeq, a predicted model, not a curated record